GGUCACAAAGCCUCCCCUUGGCUACCAGCCCACACGCAGACCCCCAGGCCAGGCUCCGCAGUCACCAGCCCGCGGGAGCCUCGCCCAGCCCCCUCGGCGGGCCUGGACCAUGUGGCCAACGGGAGACGCUUCCCGUCGGCAUAGGGAGCGUCUUCGCUGAGGGCUUGACUGUACCUAGCUGUGCUGCUGUGGCACGUACUGCUGCAGCCAGAGCCCUGGGCCAUUUAAAUCGCUGCCAGAGCCUUGUGCAGCACUGAGGGCUGGCUGGGGGAGGCACAGCACAGUCCAGGUGCUGUUGGGGGUUCGCUGCCCUUAACCCUGCCUCUUCCAUCCAAAUCCCUGCCCUUCCAGGGGCCCAGAGCCAAGCCACCCCCAAUUUGUCUAGGGCCCUGCAACAUCUGUCACCAACCAUGCCUAGGGGAGAGCUUGUGCCAGCAUAGCGAAUGCACCUCGCACUCACAGUGUAUAGUUUGAGACCCGGAAGCUGAUGAAGCCACCAGAAUCCAUUCACUUAUGGAACUUGAGCCUAUGUUGAACCCAAACCUUCAAAAAUAAGAGAAAUCCUCCAUUGCAGCUUUUGAUUGAGGACACUGACCUCAAUUUAAAAAUAUAAAUAAAUAACAUCAGACUGCCUCCUACUGCAUCAACUCUGCCCUCAUCUUUCCCUGCUGUGUUGCUGCUGUCACAAGUUUGUCUGAUGCUUGCUAGAAAUUAAUACAUUACUCACGUCUGCACCCCCCUCAGAUGCAGGAAAUCUGCUAAACCUCAGUGAGGCCUGUGGAGUUGAGGCACUAAAGGAGCACUCAAGGAAGACAAGGUUGUUGUAGAAAAGCUAAACGGUCUUCACCGUGGAGGAUGAAAGGAUUUCCAUACCCGAGCCACUCUUUUUCGAUGACAAAUCUGAAGAACUGCCCAGAUUGAGGUGACAAUAAAGGAGGUUUUGAAACAAAUUGAUAAAUUAAACAGUAAUACAUUACUAGGACUAGAUCAAGGUGAGCAAUAAUUUUUGAUGGCGGGACCGCUCCAAGAAUUUGGUAAACAGUCAAGGUCUGCACUUUUCCAUGGUAUUAAUGGAGAACGUGUGGGGUCAGGAAUGGAAAUUGAGUGUAGAAGGGAUCUUGGAAUAAGGGAUUAGAGUGCAGGAGAGAGUGUGGAAUCUGGGAGGAAGCUUGGAUGAAGAAGCAGGUUGUGACCUGGAGCAGGAGACUGGGGUGCAGAAAGGGGUGCAGGGUCUGGGAGGGGGGAU
Molecule: long non-coding RNA, 1246 nt
Organism: Pelodiscus sinensis (Chinese soft-shelled turtle)
Lineage: Eukaryota; Metazoa; Chordata; Testudines; Trionychidae
Source: RefSeq, a predicted model, not a curated record